GGUUUGUUGUAUCGAAUUGGUAAGAUAGCGGAUUGUAAAUCCGUGGCCACCGAAAGGGGCAUCUAGGUUCAAGUCCUAGGCAAACCA
RNAcentral lists this transfer RNA (87 nucleotides) under Vibrio phage KIT04. RNAcentral's name for it is "tRNA-Tyr". It matches the Rfam family "tRNA". Rfam says of the family: Transfer RNA (tRNA) molecules are approximately 80 nucleotides in length. The record is from RNAcentral. Lineage: Duplodnaviria; Heunggongvirae; Uroviricota; Caudoviricetes; Demerecviridae.